GCUAAAUAUAACUACCAUAGCUAGGUGGUUAGAGAGGAGUCAUACCAUACAGCUAAAUAUAACUACCAUAGCUAGGUGGUUAGAGAGGAGUCAUACCAUACAGCUAAAUAUAACUACCAUAGCUAGGUGGUUAGAGAGGAGACAUACCAUACAGCUAAAUAUAACUACCAUAGCCUGGUGGUAUGUGGUUAGAGAGGAGUCAUACCAUACAGCUAAAUAUAACUACCAUAGCUAGGUGGUAGGUGGUUAGAGAGGAGUCAUACCAUACAGCUAAAUAUAACUACCAUAGCUAGGUGGUUAGAGAGGAGACAUACCAUACAGCUAAA
This is a long non-coding RNA of Salvelinus fontinalis (brook trout), 326 nucleotides long. RefSeq lists it as uncharacterized. The transcript is spliced from 3 exons. The record is from RefSeq and is a predicted model, not a curated record. Lineage: Eukaryota; Metazoa; Chordata; Actinopteri; Salmoniformes; Salmonidae.